UAACACAUGCAAGUCGAAGGAGAAGGUAAGUGCUUGCACUUACUGGAGACUGGCGGACGGGUGAGUAACGCGUAGAUAACCUGCCUAUAUCUGGGGGAUAACAUCUCGAAAGGGGUGAUAAUACCGCAUAAUGCAGCGGGGCCGCAUGGCCACAGUUGUUAAAGGUUUCGGCCGGAUAUAGAGGGGUCUGCGUACUAUUAGUUAGUUGGUAAGGUAACGGCUUACCAAGGCGAUGAUAGUUAGGGGGUCUGAGAGGAUGAUCCCCCACACUGGGACUGAGACACGGCCCAGACUCCUACGGGAGGCAGCAGUGAGGAAUCUUGCGCAAUGGGCGAAAGCCUGACGCAGCCA
Molecule: ribosomal RNA, 351 nt
Filed under: uncultured Bacteroidota bacterium
Lineage: Bacteria; Pseudomonadati; Bacteroidota
Description: bacterial SSU rRNA
Rfam family: Bacterial small subunit ribosomal RNA
Source: RNAcentral